Equus caballus (horse) is the source of this 712-nucleotide non-coding RNA. NCBI's taxonomy places the organism in Eukaryota, Metazoa, Chordata, Mammalia, Perissodactyla, Equidae. The record is from RefSeq and is a predicted model, not a curated record.
CUGAUGGAUAAAUUCUUUUGUUCUAUCCUCCUAGGAAAGGUGUAGCUUGAAAUAUGAGAGGUUAGAUAAAGUGGAGUUUAAGAGUACAGGCUUUCAGAAGACUGGACCCUGAUACUGUAUUUGCCGCGCACAGAUGACCUUGAUGAGUGAAAUCCUGGUCAUCAUCCAAUGUGAAGCCCACACUUUACCUCCACUCCUGAGCCCAGAAAGCCUGAACAGCAUAGUGGUUAAGAGCACAAGGACCUGAACUGCCACCUACUCCCAGCCAUGUGACCUUGCACAAAGUACGUAAUCUCUUGCGGCUUGAGCUCCGUAUUGUGGUGGGGAACUUCAUAGAAAAGAUCAAACAGAGGCCCUAGAAUGGUGAAAACUGUCUCUGAACUGCUAGUGUUACACCCAGCCCACGGAAACAAGACAGGAAACAACAAACAGCAAAUCCCAGAGUGACCAAAAGAUAGAAGACUCAGGCUAGAGAACUUGCCAGAAGAGUGAGCUCCACUUCAAUAGCUACAUUCCUGCAAAUUCUUGCUCCAUGUUAUUUCCUCCUUGCCUAAUAGAAAGGUUAGCUUUCAGUCUUUGUUGAGUAAUGGCUAAGAGAAAAGAGAAGAUCUCAAAAGUGUAAUGCUCUGGCAAAGAUAUUUAAAAAAAAAAAAAAUUUACAAAGCUUGAUACUUUGUAUUAAUUUAUUGUGAGAACAUAAUGGAAUUAUAUG